This 73-nucleotide transfer RNA is filed under the name Anguilla anguilla (European eel). It matches the Rfam family "tRNA". Rfam says of the family: Transfer RNA (tRNA) molecules are approximately 80 nucleotides in length. Their secondary structure includes four short double-helical elements and three loops (D, anti-codon, and T loops). Further hydrogen bonds mediate the characteristic L-shaped molecular structure. tRNAs have two regions of fundamental functional importance: the anti-codon, which is responsible for specific mRNA codon recognition, and the 3' end, to which the tRNAs corresponding amino acid is attached (by aminoacyl-tRNA synthetases). tRNAs cope with the degeneracy of the genetic code in two manners: having more than one tRNA (with a specific anti-codon) for a particular amino acid; and 'wobble' base-pairing, i.e. permitting non-standard base-pairing at the 3rd anti-codon position. The record is from Rfam by way of RNAcentral. Lineage: Eukaryota; Metazoa; Chordata; Actinopteri; Anguilliformes; Anguillidae.
GCCCUGAUUGCUCACUCAGUAGAGCAUCAGCCUUUUAAUCUGGGGGUCCCGGGUUCAAGUCCCUGUUUGGGUG